UUAUAUAAGGCGAGAUAAUUAAAUUCAGUUAUGCGAAUAUUAACGGGUAAAUUUAUUAUAUCCAGGCUCGAAAAAGAGAUUUUAGCAAAUAAGGAUAUGGUCGGAAUAUAUUGGUGAAAUUAAUAUGUUUAAUUGGUGUAUUUCGUAUAUAUAGCAGGCGGUAAUAAAUGAUGGACAGAAGAUUUUUGGGUAUAAUUAUAUUAUAUUUUAUAAACCACCCCUGAGGGGUAGCUGUCUCAUUUAUUUUUUAUAUAUAACUUUCUUAUCGUGCCCGACCUUUAAUUAGAGCAGGGAAUACCCAGUGCCCAACACACCUAUGUUUUCGCCUGAAGAUUUUAACGUUUCUUUUAUUUUAACAGUUCAAAUAAUUACCUCUUUUAAAAUGCAAAUCGAAUUAUCCCUUUAUUUGGGUUCGAAAACUUUGACCCGCAUGGUCGUAAUAGGAUUCACUGCCCUGCCGACAGUUUGUAUUGGUUCGGGGUUAGGGUUAAUUAUUUAUAUAUUUUAUCGCCAGUCAGAUUGGGUUACCAAUAUAAUAAUAGAACAACUUUGCAUUUUCACUUUGAAAACCCUGUACGAAUUUCAAAUCUGCACAAUGGGAAUUUUAUAAUAGUGACGGAAAACUUAAUAACAUUUGACGUGCUCCUAUAAUACCCACGCUGCCAAUUUAGGUUAACAAACCAAUAAUUUUUCGGAACGAGGGUUAAUACGACCUGAAUUACCCGUCGUGCCAAACAAAUAAUUUGCGGUGCCAAAAUGGGGUCUUGGUUGCCUAUUUAAUCCGUUUAUUAUUCCCCAGUCGAAACCACUAUUCCAUUUAAUUUUGCAAGGCCAGCCAACCGGGUUACGCGUUUGCUCCCCGCCUCGCUAAUGGAAGGUUCCUGCAUUGGGAAUGUUUUAACGGUGGUUAUUGCCUGCCAAAAAACCUUGCAUUUUCGCAGAAUUGCCACCAUGAUUUGAUAAUCCGUUAGGGCGUCCAUUAUAAUGCAGGGGGCCCUCCAUUACCGUGGCAUAUUAUCUUUGGGGCGGUAAAAUGCGGGGUUCGGUGUCAUAUAAUAAUGCGUGGCGAAAUUAAUUAAUUAAAUUAGAAGUUAAUUAUCGAACGAUAAGAGAUUAUAUAGUCGACCAGGCCACUUUUAAAAAGCUAUAAACAUAUUUUCCAAAAGGUGGUAGUGGUGGUAGUGGCGUUGGCGGGUAUGGUAGCCUAUACAUUUGUAAAUUAAUAACUAUAUGGCCGAAAAAAAGUGCAAUAGAUUAAAUUGUGGGCGAUUAAUAAUGCGGUUUUUUCAACCACCCAAAACUCCGUUUUGCCCCACGCCGAAUGGGACCGCCGGUAUUAGUGAAACGGAGGAUAAUUAAUUUUAUUACCACGUAUUAUAUCACACAAGGUUUAACCCCAAAUUUAGGACUUUCGAGUCCGGACGGUCCGUCCGACUUGUUAAACGCGGUGUUACACCACAUGCAAGCGGUUAUUUAAUUAUCCUAUACGACGAUAAAAUAUGCUGCGUUUAUAGUUAACUUAUUAAUUAAUAAGGAAUAUCUAUAAAAUAAAUGCAGUUUGUAACGAGCAGCGGAACCCUGCGAAAUUAACAAAUAACGCCGCUUUCGAGCUAUUAAACCGGUGUGAUAAACUGCUAAAAUGCAGACCAGGAUUGUUUAUAUGCCCUAACACGCAUUUUUAUAUGUUUUUCCCCACCGGAUGCCAAUAAAAGACCUCCUGGAUGGUGGAGAAAAUGUGAGACGAUCCGCCCGUAAGCCCCCAUUAUCGCAAUCAGACGCCGAACCCCGCAGUUUGUCGCCCCAGGCCCUCAAAUCGGAUUGCGCUUUUGCUCCAAACCGCGGAUAUAAAAGGCCUCCUGCAUAGCUGAAAAAAUUCAGGCCUGUUUAGUUGAACGAAUAAUUAAUAUUAUGGUAAUUGUGUGCGGUAUUAGGCAACCUUAUAUAAAUUUUACUGAUAUUAUUUGUGGACUAUUUAAUAGGGCUGUGUCCCACGGGUUAACCUGGUUUAUUACCAAUAUAUUUGCGGGUAAAUUGUUAAAAGGAGUAAUUAUUAAUGGAAAAUGCAAAUAAAUAAUAAUAUAUUCACAGGUUAAUUGGAGCGCCAAUUAUAUAAAGGGAUGGAAUAGGUAUCGCGAAAAACUUCCUCAAUUUAGACAUUCCGCUCCCUAUCGCUACCGUUAUUACUGACUAUUUUCCAACCACCUGAGGCGAUGUGACGAACCUUAAUAAUUUUUUUUGGCCCAAGAAAUAAUUAGACGGUAUAAAUUAUAAAGUUAAACAGGAGCAAAUAUAAAAUAUAAUUUAGAAGAUAUCUUUUAUAUUUCAAUUGAAUUUUCUUUGCAAUAUCCCAAAAAAUAUAUCGAUCGUAUUACUGGUAAAUAUUGGAAUACCUUCCCACCAUUGGAAAUAAAGUAAUGUGAAAUAAUAUUUUUAUACAAAGCCAUUUAGAGACCUGAAAGGUUUUUAAUAACCCACAAACCAGCGCCAAAAUUAUUAGAACAUCCGUAAUAGUUCCAGCACCGCCUUACCUAACCUUUAAUUAUUUUUUGCAUUUUUAAACUAUUCGGUAAUUAUUCCAAUAUUUAAGGAA
RNAcentral lists this small RNA (2590 nucleotides) under Pyricularia oryzae. RNAcentral's name for it is "Magnaporthe oryzae sRNA M_BR32_EuGene_00145431". Lineage: Eukaryota; Fungi; Ascomycota; Sordariomycetes; Magnaporthales; Pyriculariaceae. The record is from RNAcentral.